UUAUCAUUCUCGCGCCCCG
RNAcentral lists this microRNA (19 nucleotides) under Drosophila persimilis. RNAcentral describes it as "miR-184-star-RA". RNAcentral also lists the same sequence under 1 other name. The record is from RNAcentral. Lineage: Eukaryota; Metazoa; Arthropoda; Insecta; Diptera; Drosophilidae.